RNAcentral lists this ribosomal RNA (1304 nucleotides) under Neotermes sp. RNAcentral's name for it is "16S ribosomal RNA". The stretch from base 867 to 1231 matches the Rfam family "Archaeal large subunit ribosomal RNA", at positions 2150 to 2716 of the family's 2987-position model. Lineage: Eukaryota; Metazoa; Arthropoda; Insecta; Blattodea; Kalotermitidae. The record is from RNAcentral.
UUGUUACUGAUUUUCUUAUAUUUGUUUUUGUUUAUUGGGUUUAUUUGGCAAAUUAUUGUUUUGUUGUUGUAUUCUUAUUGAUUUAAUAUUUUUUGUUAUAGUUUAUUUGUACUGUGGGGGUAUAAAUUAUUUUGUUUUUGUAAGUUGGCUUUUUUUGCUGUACCUUGUGUAUCAGGGUUUAUUAAUUUUUAUUAUUUAUUUGUAUUUCCCGAUUUCAUGGGAGUUAGUUAAUUAUUUUAGUUACUGUUUCAUCAGUAUUAAUGAUAUUUUUCUGGUAGUGAUAUUUUAAUCGUCUUUGGUGGUAUCUGGUUUUCUUGGAGAUGAAUUUAAUUCACAUUUCUUGUUUAAUUUUACUUUUUGUAGUUUGGGUUUUACUUGUUGUGAAGGUGUUGGGGGAUGAGCUCCGAUUCUUGUUUUAUAACUUAUUUAUUGUUUAAUUUUUGUGGACUUUGUGUUGGUCAUCUAUUUGAGUAUGUUAAAAUUUUACUUUUUUAUUUGUGAUUUAUUUAGUUGUUUAAUUUUUUUACUUGAAAGUUCAGUUUAUUUUUUUUUCUGUUGUUUUAUUGAUUGAAUUAGUAUAUGUAUUUAUUUUUGUUUAGUUUGGUUUAUUGUUGCUGAUUCUUUAAAAGGAACUAGGCAAGUUUAUAGUGUUCGCCUGUUUAACAAAAACAUCUCUUCUUGUGAAUUUUUUGAAGUAUGGUCUGCCCACUGAUUUUAUUGAAGGGCCGCGGUAUUUUGACCGUGCAAAGGUAGCAUAAUCAUUAGUUCUUUAAUUGUGGACUGGUAUGAAUGGCUUGACGAGAUACUAUCUGUCUUUUUGGGAUUAUUAUUGAAUUUGGUUUUUGGGUAAAAAUACCUAAAUUUUGUUAUGGGACGAGAAGACCCUAUAGAGUUUUAUGUAGUUCAUUCUCUUUAGUUUGAUUUAUUUUGUUGGGUUAACUGCAUUUUGUUGGGGUGAUGGGAAAAUAAGUUGAACUUUUCCUUGUUAGUAAUUCACUUGUUUGUGUUUUUAUGAUCCUUUGUUAUUGAUUGUAAGAUUAAAUUACCUUAGGGAUAACAGCGUAAUCUUUUUUGAGAGUUCUUAUUGACAAAAGGGUUUGCGACCUCGAUGUUGGAUUAAGAUGAAUUUUUGGCGUAGAGGCUUUAUGAAUAAAUUGGGUCUGUUCGACCUUUAAAAUCUUACAUGAUCUGAGUUCAAACCGGCGUGAGCCAGGUUGGUUUCUAUCUAUAAUUUUUUAUAAUUUCUUAGUACGAGAGGACCAGAUGUUUGGAAUAAUUUUUCUUUAUUUGAGGUUUAUUAAUUU